UGGGGAAUAUUGCACAAUGGGCGCAAGCCUGAUGCAGCCAUGCCGCGUGUGUGAAGAAGGCCUUCGGGUUGUAAAGCACUUUCAGCGGGGAGGAAGGCGGUGAGGUUAAUAACCUCAUCGAUUGACGUUACUCGCAGAAGAAGCACCGGCUAACGCCGUGCCAGCAGCCGCGGUAAUACGGAGGGUGCAAGCGUUAAUCGGAAUUACUGGGCGUAAAGCGCACGCAGGCGGUUGAUUGAGUCAGAUGUGAAAUCCACGGGCUUAACCCAGGAAUUGCAUCUGAUACUGGCCCGCUAGAGACUUGUAGAGGGGGGUAGAAUUCCAUGUGUAGCGGUGAAUUGCGUAGAGAUGUGGAGGAAUACCGGUCGCGAAGGCGGCCCCCUGGCCAAAGACUGACGCUCAGGUGCGAAAGCGUGGGGAGCAAACAGG
RNAcentral lists this ribosomal RNA (429 nucleotides) under Chloroflexota bacterium. RNAcentral's name for it is "Chloroflexi bacterium partial 16S ribosomal RNA". It matches the Rfam family "Bacterial small subunit ribosomal RNA", at positions 355 to 776 of the family's 1533-position model. Lineage: Bacteria; Bacillati; Chloroflexota. The record is from RNAcentral.